AGGAGGAACAACCCCAGUGGCGGGGCCAGCUCCGGAGCCCUGGAGUCAGCUCCUGCAGUAACAAAGGAGCUCUGAGUCUUCAGGGCCUGGAUGCUUUUUGUUUCU
Molecule: non-coding RNA, 105 nt
Organism: Canis lupus familiaris (dog)
Lineage: Eukaryota; Metazoa; Chordata; Mammalia; Carnivora; Canidae
Source: Rfam